Molecule: ribosomal RNA, 439 nt
Filed under: uncultured bacterium
Lineage: Bacteria
Description: bacterial SSU rRNA
Rfam family: Bacterial small subunit ribosomal RNA
Source: RNAcentral
CCUACGGGAGGCAGCAGUGGGGAAUAUUGCACAAUGGGGGGAACCCUGAUGCAGCAAUGCCGCGUGGGUGAAGAAGCACUCCGGUGCGUAAAGCCCUGUCAGCAGGGAAGAAAAUGACAGUACCUGGACAAGAAGCCCCGGCUAACUACGUGCCAGCAGCCGCGGUAAUACGUAGGGGGCAAGCGUUAUCCGGAUUUACUGGGUGUAAAGGGAGCGCAGGCGGCGUGGCAAGUCAGAUGUGAAAACCCGGGGCCCAACCCCGGGAGUGCAUUUGAAACUGCCAUGCUGGAGUGCCGGAGAGGUAAGCGGAAUUCCUAGUGUAGCGGUGAAAUGCGUAGAUAUUAGGAGGAACACCAGUGGCGGAGGCGGCUUACUGGACGGUAACUGACGCUGAGGCUCGAAAGCGUGGGGAGCAAACAGGAUUAGAUACCCCAGUAGU